CGGGGGGAGCAAGCGUUGUUCGGAUUUACUGGGCGUAAAGGGCGGGUAGGCGGCCACCGCAAGUCGACUGUGAAAUCUCCGGGCUUAACCCGGAAAGGUCAGCCGAUACUGCGGGGCUAGAGUGCAGAAGGGGCAACUGGAGUUCUCGGUGUAGCGGUGAAAUGCGUAGAUAUCGAGAGGAACACCUGCGGCGAAGGCGGGUUGCUGGGCUGACACUGACGCUGAACUGCGAAAGCUAGGGGAGCGAACGGGAUUAGAUACCCCGGUAGUCCUAGCCUUAAACGAUGAAUGCUUGGUGUCUGGGGUUUUAUAGUCCCCGGGUGCCGUCGCUAACGCUUUAAGCAUUCCGCCUGGGGAGUACGGUCGCAAGACUG
Molecule: ribosomal RNA, 374 nt
Filed under: uncultured organism
Description: bacterial SSU rRNA
Rfam family: Bacterial small subunit ribosomal RNA
Source: RNAcentral